AAAUUGAAGAGUUUGAUCAUGGCUCAGAUUGAACGCUGGCGGCAGGCCUAACACAUGCAAGUCGAGCGGCAGCGGGGAGUAGCUUGCUACUCUGCCGGCGAGCGGCGGACGGGUGAGUAAUGCUUGGGAACUUGCCUUUAGGAGGGGGAUAACCACGGGAAACUGUGGCUAAUACCGCAUAAUGUCUACGGACCAAAGCAGGGGAUCUUCGGACCUUGCACCUAGAGAUAGGCCCAAGUGAGAUUAGCUAGUUGGUGGGGUAAAGGCCCACCAAGGCGACGAUCUCUAGCUGUUCUGAGAGGAUGAUCAGCCACACUGGGACUGAGACACGGCCCAGACU
Molecule: ribosomal RNA, 340 nt
Filed under: Idiomarina sp. FeN1
Lineage: Bacteria; Pseudomonadati; Pseudomonadota; Gammaproteobacteria; Alteromonadales; Idiomarinaceae
Also listed under: 2 other names
Description: bacterial SSU rRNA
Rfam family: Bacterial small subunit ribosomal RNA
Source: RNAcentral